Molecule: long non-coding RNA, 1238 nt
Organism: Vicia villosa (hairy vetch)
Lineage: Eukaryota; Viridiplantae; Streptophyta; Magnoliopsida; Fabales; Fabaceae
Exons: 4
Source: RefSeq, a predicted model, not a curated record
CAGUUUUCAUGACAAAAGUGGUGGAAUAUGGCCUUAAUGGGAGAGUGCACAAGAAACCUUGCUGAAGGCCCGAUCCAAAUAUUUUUCAGAAUUUUGUUAAUCAGGUUUUACAAUCCAUUAUUGAUCCAAUUAACCUCUAAAUUAUUCACUUGAUACCAAAUUAAAACUCAGAUUAAUCAAACUAAAUGGAAAGGGAAUUAGGUUUUUACACUGUGACGAUUGAAAUCAUAAGCUCUCCUCCUCUCUCUUACGGCCGCGGCGGUGCUCCUUCUUCUCCAAUCAAAAAUCAUGUUCGCCGCCGUGAACUGCCGAUGGACAACGUCAUCUCAUCGUCCUCUCACUCCUUGUCAUCUCUCACUAUGAACUCAGUUAACUCGUCAUCACCUCCCCGAUCCAAUUGAUUUGUUUCGUUCUUGAACCGAUCGGUUGUGUAAAGAUAGUAUAAAGCGGAAUCAACGAAGAUGAAAAUUGAAUCGUGGAGAUGACUGAUGAAUGAUUCAUUGUCGAUAGUUGAAGAUCGAUGAAGAGGAUUUGAGAUUGGAGAAAGAUUUUCUUAGAGAAAUUUGUUACAGAGAUUGAUUUAUAGUGAUGUGAAGAGGAGAAGGAGGUUCUAAGAUUUUGUUCAAAGUUGAAGAGAGUGAAGAGGUUGAAGGUUGAAGAGAGUGAGAUGUCUGAAUCGGUUAGAGAUUGAUGAAGAUUGAAGCGUGUGUUGAACGAUUCUGAGUUUUUUCUUGUUAUUUACAAUGAUGGAGGUGAUGAAGAUGAUGAGGGUGAUGAAGGUUCGAUGAUGGAGAUUGGAAGAGGUUUGAGGAUGAUUGAAGAAUUGAUGAUGAUUUUUGUGAUCGUGAAUGGAGGAAGACGAAGGUGGAGAAGUUUGUUAUGAUUCUGUUAGAAGUUUGUUACAGGUUCUUGGAUUGCAUUGUGUUGAACCGGUUCUUACUUUCACGCUGUUGCUUAGUUUGAUGGCGGUUUAUUUCGGAACUGCUUAUUCAUUAUUUUUGUGGUUCGGAACCGCUUAUUCAUUAUUUCUGUGGCAGUUUUGUCUCAUUUCUUGGCUGCUAGUAGGAUGCUGCAAGUGGCUCGUGGAAUUUUGAUGGAGCAUGAAGGGAAAAUCCUUUUUUUGGUAUAAUUUUUGUAAUAUUGAUAUAGUGGGCUUUGUAAUUUGAAUGGGCUUGGACAUUGUAAUGAAUAAUGAUGUAAUGUAUAUUUGAAUCUUAUAAUUUAUGUGCUAGAAACUA